AUUUUUUUUUUUUGUUGUCCUUUGUCGAAAUUGAAGCGUGAAGCGGAUUGUAAUUUGAGCUUCCCGCGCAGUGCAUUGCGGCUCUCAGGGAGAGAAGAAUGUCGUCGGGAAGCGAACAGCCCGAAAAUGGAGGAGCGGACGACAAGUCGCUGAAGCUCGCCGUAGCGAUCUCUCUUCUCCGUUAUAAGUUCCUCCAAAAGCAACCUCCUUUUCCCAAUCCUUCCGAAUCCGAUGCUCACCGAUGGAAGCGAAAGGCUAAAGAGCGAAAGCAAGAGAUUUUAAGACUCAGAGAAGAUCUCAAGCAAGCUGAAGAUGCUUCACAAUUCGAUUUAUUCCCGCAGAGUUCUUCUUGCAAGUGCUAUUUCUUUGAUCGCUUGGGGAAAUUAAGCCCUAAGCCACUUUCAGAUUCAGAUUGCUCUGAUCGCCGAUUCAAUGACGUUUUGCGACGGAGGUUUAUCAGACAAGUAAGGUUCAAGGAAAGGAGAAAAAAAACAGGUUGCUCGGUACAGGGACGUUGUUUAUCAGCCCUUAGCAAUGAAAAUGAAUUGGAGCAGCUUGGGGCCUCGGUUGAUUUCAUUGUUGAGCUUUGCAACACUGUUUCUCCCGUGGAGGCAAAUUUUGCAAACUGGUCUCACCAAGCUGUAGACUUCAUUUUAGCUUCAUUGAAGAGUUUGUUAUCAAUGGAAAAGAGCAUGGAACUCAUUGAAGGAAUUAUUAGCAGCUUAAUUUCACGGUUGGUUAAAAGGAUGUGUUCCCCCAUACAAGAAAAUGGAUCAAAUUGUAACAACAUGGAUGCUCAGUUCUAUUUUCAGCAUUUGAUUCGUAAGCUUGGAAGUGAGCCCUAUAUUGGACAACGUGUGAUACUCUUCAUUUCUCAGAGAAUUUCUGUUCUUGCAGAAAGCUUACUUUUCACAGAUCCAUUUGAUAUUGCCUUUCCUCACAUGCAUGAAUGUAUGUUCACAAUGAUCCAGCUAAUUGAGUUUUUGGAAUCUGACUACUUAUCAAUUUGGUCAAAGGAUGAAGGCUUUGAUAAGAUGCUCUUUGAAGAAUGGGUGGCAUCAAUCCUUCACGCCAGAAAAGCGUUAGAAUUGUUGGAAAGCAGAAAUGGACUAUAUGUGCUCUACAUGGAUCGAGUCACAGGUGAAUUGGCUAAACAAGUAGGCCAGAUUUUAUCACUCCAUGAUAUAGGACCGGAGAUUCUUGAUAAGCUGCAGCGCUAACCACAACUUUUGGAGAAAAUCUUAAGAAGUGAGCCAUUGAAUCUUUUCUCCAGCCAAAGAUUAUGAAGCUAAUCUUGUGACUUCAGGGAUGCCGGAUAUACUUAGACAUGGCUGAGAUGAAAUUUACGGUCGGUUUCUCACUGGUUGUUGUCUUAAUAUUAUUGUCUCAAUCUGUUCCAAUUUCAGCUCGUGAAGGUGCUCUGAAUUAUCCACUGGUUAGCAGGUUUCAGGGCCAAUAUAUGCAGCGAUGGAGGCAAUCAACUAAUGAGGAUGUGAAUCUAUUUCAAACUCAAACUCUCCAAGUACAUGACAGAAGAAGGAGUGGUGGAAUUCCAACCCGAGCUCGCGGUAAAUCAUCAUCAGCUAUACCAACCAGAUUACCUUGUCUACCUCAUGUUGGUUUUUUCCUUUGUCUGUCUUUAUCCUUGGGCAUCUUUCUGUUAUAGUGUGCUUUGUAUUCCAGAGUAUUCCAUCUUCUUCUACUACUGUAGAAAGAAUUAGUGCUCUGGUGGAAAACAGGUCCGAAUCAGAAAGUUCUCAUUAAUAUGAACAAUGAUUCAUGUUCCAGACUCCCCCAUGUACUUACUUAGAAUUAGGGGAUGGUCUUAUUUCAUUUACUUUUCUUUUAAUUAUACCUUUUUAGAAGGGGUAUCUUGUGUUUGUGUGUGUAUGUGCGGCUUGUUUUUUUUUUUUUUUGGGUAUGAAUCGAAAGGAAUGAAUAAAGACAGUAAUUGGAUGACAGAUGAUGUAUUUAGCUUUGGAUAGU
Ziziphus jujuba (common jujube) is the source of this 1986-nucleotide RNA transcript. It is a transcript of the gene named protein MULTIPOLAR SPINDLE 1, with no coding region annotated. The record is from RefSeq and is a predicted model, not a curated record. The transcript has 11 exons. NCBI's taxonomy places the organism in Eukaryota, Viridiplantae, Streptophyta, Magnoliopsida, Rosales, Rhamnaceae.